This 740-nucleotide ribosomal RNA is filed under the name uncultured bacterium. RNAcentral describes it as "bacterial SSU rRNA". It matches the Rfam family "Bacterial small subunit ribosomal RNA", at positions 8 to 796 of the family's 1533-position model. The record is from RNAcentral.
AGAGUUUGAUCAUGGCUCAGAGCGAACGCUGGCGGCAGGCCUAAUACAUGCAAGUCGAGCGCACCUUCGGGUGAGCGGCGGACGGGUGAGUAACGCGUGGGAAUGUGCCCUUUGGUACGGAACAACUGAGGGAAACUUCAGCUAAUACCGUAUGUGCCCUUCGGGGGAAAGAUUUAUCGCCAUUGGAGCAGCCCGCGUUGGAUUAGGUAGUUGGUGAGGUAAAGGCUCACCAAGCCUACGAUCCAUAGCUGGUCUGAGAGGAUGAUCAGCCACACUGGGACUGAGACACGGCCCAGACUCCUACGGGAGGCAGCAGUAGGGAAUCUUGCGCAAUGGGCGAAAGCCUGACGCAGCCAUGCCGCGUGAAUGAUGAAGGUCUUAGGAUUGUAAAAUUCUUUCACCGGGGAAGAUAAUGACGGUACCCGGAGAAGAAGCCCCGGCUAACUUCGUGCCAGCAGCCGCGGUAAUACGAAGGGGGCUAGCGUUGCUCGGAAUUACUGGGCGUAAAGGGCGCGUAGGCGGAUAUUUAAGUUAGAGGUGAAAGCCCAGGGCUCAACCCUGGAACAGCCUUUAAUACUGGAUAUCUUGAGUUCGGGAGAGGUGAGUGGAACUCCGAGUGUAGAGGUGAAAUUCGUAGAUAUUCGGAAGAACACCAGUGGCGAAGGCGACUCACUGGCCCGAUACUGACGCUGAGGCGCGAAAGCGUGGGGAGCAAACAGGAUUAGAUACCCUAGUAGUCC